AGGCAGCAGUGAGGAAUAUUGGUCAAUGGGCGCGAGCCUGAACCAGCCAAGUCGCGUGAGGGAGGACGGCCCUACGGGUUGUAAACCUCUUUUGCCGGGGAGCAACGGGCGUCACGUGUGGCGCCACUGAGAGUACCCGGAGAAAAAGCAUCGGCUAACUCCGUGCC
This 167-nucleotide ribosomal RNA is filed under the name uncultured bacterium. RNAcentral's name for it is "partial 16S ribosomal RNA". It matches the Rfam family "Bacterial small subunit ribosomal RNA", at positions 346 to 509 of the family's 1533-position model. The record is from RNAcentral.